RNAcentral lists this ribosomal RNA (509 nucleotides) under uncultured bacterium. Its description in RNAcentral is "partial 16S ribosomal RNA". It matches the Rfam family "Bacterial small subunit ribosomal RNA", at positions 29 to 507 of the family's 1533-position model. The record is from RNAcentral.
ACGAACGCUGGCGGCGUGCUUAACACCUGCCAGUCGAACGAAGAGCGAUGGAAGCUUGCUUCUAUCAAUCUUAGUGGCGAACGGGUGAGUAACGCGUAAUCAACCUGCCCUUCAGAGGGGGACAACAGUUGGAAACGACUGCUAAUACCGCAUACGAUCCAAUCUCGGCAUCGAGGAUGGAUGAAAGGUGGCCUCUAUUUAUAAGCUAUCACUGAAGGAGGGGAUUGCGUCUGAUUAGCUAGUUGGAGGGGUAACGGCCCACCAAGGCGAUGAUCAGUAGCCGGUCUGAGAGGAUGAACGGCCACAUUGGGACUGAGACACGGCCCAGACUCCUACGGGAGGCAGCAGUGGGGAAUCUUCCGCAAUGGACGAAAGUCUGACGGAGCAACGCCGCGUGAGUGAUGACGGCCUUCGGGUUGGAAAGCUCUGUUAAUCGGGACGAAAGGUCCUCUUGCGAAUAGUUAGAGGAAUUGACGGUACCGGAAGAGAAAGCCACGGCUAACUACGUG